AUGAACUGUAGGCGUUUACUUGCCCGUCUGUCUGAAUUUGCCUCAUCCUACCUCGGUGGAUGGCUUGGCCUCUGGGAUAGUCCAAGACUCUUGGAUGACCACGCUUUAUGCAAAAUCCAGAAUCUUCCUGCCUGGACUCCUCUCUGUUUUCUAAGGGUCAGCAGCUGAGUGUGUUUGACAAGAACUGAAAUUUAAUGUCUCCUGUAGCAACCAUGACACUAGUCAUUUUAAAAUCCACUGUACCAAUGGUACUCUGGUUUUUAUUAGCCUUUUACAAAUUUUUGUGUAACCUCUGAAGUCGUCUUGCUCCUGGAGGGGAGAGUAGAGGAUCCUUCAUGUUAGGAAAUAAAUCAAUGUUAGACAGAAUUUCUAAAAUGUAA
Molecule: long non-coding RNA, 380 nt
Filed under: Junco hyemalis (dark-eyed junco)
Lineage: Eukaryota; Metazoa; Chordata; Aves; Passeriformes; Passerellidae
Description: lncRNA (ENSJHYG00000012404.1)
Source: RNAcentral